AGAGUUUGAUCCUGGCUCAGGACGAACGCUGGCGGCGUGCCUAAUACAUGCAAGUCGAGCGGAUCUUGUCCUUCGGGACAAGGUUAGCGGCGGACGGGUGAGUAACACGUAGGCAACCUGCCCUCAAGACUGGGAUAACCUCCGGAAACGGAUGCUAAUACCAGAUAAGCGAUUUUCUCUCCUGGGAAGAUCGAGAAAGACGGAGCAAUCUGUUACUUGAGGAUGGGCCUGCGGCGCAUUAGCUAGUUGGUGAGGUAACGGCUCACCAAGGCGACGAUGCGUAGCCGACCUGAGAGGGUGAUCGGCCACACUGGGACUGAGACACGGCCCAGACUCCUACGGGAGGCAGCAGUAGGGAAUCUUCCGCAAUGGACGCAAGUCUGACGGAGCAACGCCGCGUGAGUGAGGAAGGCCUUCGGGUCGUAAAGCUCUGUUGCCAGGGAAGAACGGGUGGAAGAGUAACUGCUUCCGCCAUGACGGUACCUGAGAAGAAAACCCCGGCUAACUACGUGCCAGCAGCCGCGGUAAU
RNAcentral lists this ribosomal RNA (529 nucleotides) under Paenibacillus sp. Tf 252. RNAcentral's name for it is "bacterial SSU rRNA". It matches the Rfam family "Bacterial small subunit ribosomal RNA", at positions 8 to 524 of the family's 1533-position model. The record is from RNAcentral. Lineage: Bacteria; Bacillati; Bacillota; Bacilli; Caryophanales; Paenibacillaceae.